RNAcentral lists this transfer-messenger RNA (351 nucleotides) under Acutalibacter sp. It matches the Rfam family "transfer-messenger RNA". Rfam says of the family: Bacterial tmRNA, also known as 10Sa RNA or SsrA, is named for its dual tRNA and mRNA-like properties. Its role is to liberate the mRNA from a stalled ribosome. To accomplish this part of the tmRNA is used as a reading frame that ends in a translation stop signal. Lineage: Bacteria; Bacillati; Bacillota; Clostridia; Eubacteriales; Acutalibacteraceae. The record is from RNAcentral. RNAcentral also lists the same sequence under 1 other name.
GGGGAUGUAAAGGUUUCGACGGGGGAGGGGGACCCUGGUAAGCGGGCAGCGGGAUAGGACCGCUAUAAAACCUAUAAACCUAAAAUUAAACGACAACGACUUUGUUGCUGUUGCUGCUUAAAUAAGCAGCCGUUCUUACCUGGAAUACCGCAGCCGGGAUAAGAGCGCCGAUGAGCGGUGAACGUGAGCGAGGGGGCCGCCUUUGACCCUUGCCAUGAACCAGAAGGCUACCAACGCCCAGAGCGUGCUUUUGCGCGCUGGGCAGCGGGAACUUUAAACCAAAAGCUACGCCCGUAGAAAGCCCCGGCGACCCUUUUUCGGACGCGGGUUCGAUUCCCGCCAUCUCCACCA